GAUGAACGCUGGCGGCGUGCUUAACACAUGCAAGUCGAACGGGUCGAGUUUACUCGGCUAGUGGCGGACGGGUGCGUAACACGUAGGUGACCUGCCCCGAAGUGGGGAAUAAUUCCGCGAAAGCGGGACUAAUACCGCAUGGGGUGGCCGAUUCGGUUCGGUCAUCAAAGCCGAAAGGUGCUUUGGGAUGGGCCUGCGGCGGAUUAGCUAGUUGGUGGGGUAACGGCCUACCAAGGCGAUGAUCCGUAGGGGGCGUGAGAGCGUGACCCCCCACAUUGGCACUGAGACACGGGCCAAACUCCUACGGGAGGCUG
Molecule: ribosomal RNA, 314 nt
Filed under: uncultured Chloroflexota bacterium
Lineage: Bacteria; Bacillati; Chloroflexota
Description: bacterial SSU rRNA
Rfam family: Bacterial small subunit ribosomal RNA
Source: RNAcentral